CAUAUGGUAGGAGAGCGUUCCGUAAGCCUGAGAAGGUGUCUUGUAAAGGAUGCUGGAGGUAUCGGAAGUGCGAAUGCUGACAUGAGUAGCGAUAAAGAGGGUGAAAAGCCCUCUCGCCGAAAGCCCAAGGUUUCCUGUUCAACGUUCAUCGGAGCAGGGUGAGUCGGCCCCUAAGGCGAGGCAGAGAUGCGUAGCUGAUGGGAAGCAGGUUAAUAUUCCUGCACCGUCGUAUGAUGCGAUGGGGGGACGGAUCGCGGAAGGUUGUCCAACUGUUGGAAUAGUUGGUUCUUGACUCAUAGAAGGCGCUUAGGCAAAUCCGGGCGCGUAAUUCAAGGGGUUGAGACGUGUGUCCUUGUGACACGAAGCAAUCGGAAGUGGUUCCAAGAAAAGCCUCUAAGCUUCAGUCAUACGAGACCGUACCGCAAACCGACACAGGUGGGCGAGAUGAGUAUUCUAAGGCGCUUGAGAGAACUCGGGAGAAGGAACUCGGCAAAUUGGUACCGUAACUUCGGGAUAAGGUACGCCCCGGUAGCUUGAUUGGUUUACUCCAUGAGGGUGAAAGGGUUGCAAUAAACUGGUGGCUGCGACUGUUUAAUAAAAACACAGCACUCUGCAAACACGAAAGUGGACGUAUAGGGUGUGACGCCUGCCCGGUGCUGGAAGAUUAAAUGAUGGGGUGCAAGCUCUUGAUUGAAGUCCCAGUAAACGGCGGCCGUAACUAUAACGGUCCUAAGGUAGCGAAAUUCCUUGUCGGGUAAGUUCCGACCUGCACGAAUGGCGUAACGAUGGCCACACUGUCUCCUCCCGAGACUCAGCGAAGUUGAAAUGUUUGUGAUGAUGCAAUCUACCCGCGGCUAGACGGAAAGACCCCAUGAACCUUUACUGUAGCUUUGCAUUGGACUUUGAACCAAUCUGUGUAGGAUAGGUGGGAGGCUUUGAAGCGGGGACGCCAGUUCUCGUGGAGCCAACCUUGAAAUACCACCCUGGUUCGUUUGAGGUUCUAACCUUGGCCCGUGAUCCGGGUCGGGGACAGUGCAUGGUAGGCAGUUUGACUGGGGCGGUCUCCUCCUAAAGUGUAACGGAGGAGUUCGAAGGUACGCUAGGUACGGUCGGACAUCGUGCUAAUAGUGCAAUGGCAUAAGCGUGCUUAACUGCGAGACCGACAAGUCGAGCAGGUACGAAAGUAGGACAUAGUGAUCCGGUGGUUCUGUAUGGAAGGGCCAUCGCUCAACGGAUAAAAGGUACUCUGGGGAUAACAGGCUGAUUCCUCCCAAGAGUUCAUAUCGACGGGGGAGUUUGGCACCUCGAUGUCGGCUCAUCACAUCCUGGGGCUGUAGCCGGUCCCAAGGGUAUGGCUGUUCGCCAUUUAAAGUGGUACGUGAGCUGGGUUUAAAACGUCGUGAGACAGUUUGGUCCCUAUCUGCCGUGGGCGUUGGAAAUUUGAAGGGGGCUGCUCCUAGUACGAGAGGACCGGAGUGGACGAACCUCUGGUGUACCGGUUGUCACGCCAGUGGCAUUGCCGGGUAGCUAAGUUCGGAAGAGAUAACCGCUGAAAGCAUCUAAGCGGGAAACUCGCCUUGAGAUGAGAUUUCCCGGAGCCUUGAGCUCCUUGAAGGGUCGUUCGAGACCAGGACGUUGAUAGGUCAGGUGUGGAAGUGCAGUAAUGCAUUAAGCUAACUGAUACUAAUUGCCCGUACGGCUUGUCCCUAUAACCUUGGCAG
RNAcentral lists this ribosomal RNA (1721 nucleotides) under Massilia sp. JS1662. RNAcentral describes it as "bacterial LSU rRNA". It matches the Rfam family "Bacterial large subunit ribosomal RNA", at positions 1222 to 2925 of the family's 2925-position model. Lineage: Bacteria; Pseudomonadati; Pseudomonadota; Betaproteobacteria; Burkholderiales; Oxalobacteraceae. The record is from RNAcentral.